This 463-nucleotide ribosomal RNA is filed under the name uncultured bacterium. Its description in RNAcentral is "bacterial SSU rRNA". It matches the Rfam family "Bacterial small subunit ribosomal RNA", at positions 331 to 792 of the family's 1533-position model. The record is from RNAcentral.
CCAGACUCCUACGGGAGGCAGCAGUGAGGAAUAUUGGUCAAUGGUCGGGAGACUGAACCAGCCAAGCCGCGUGAGGGAUGAAGGUACAGAGUAUCGUAAACCUCUUUUGUCAGGGAACAAAGGCGGGGACGUGUCCCCGGAUGAGUGUACCUGAAGAAAAAGCAUCGGCUAACUCCGUGCCAGCAGCCGCGGUAAUACGGAGGAUGCGAGCGUUAUCCGGAUUUAUUGGGUUUAAAGGGUGCGCAGGCGGCCUGUUAAGUCAGGGUGAAAGGCCGGGGGCCAAACCCGGGCGAGCCGUUGAAACUGGCGGGCUGGAGUUGGAGAGAAGUACGCGGAAUGCGCGGUGUAGCGGUGAAAUGCUUAGAUAUCGCGCAGAACCCCGAUUGCGAAGACAGCGUACCGGCUCCACACUGACGCUGAGGCACGAAAGCGUGGGUAUCGAACAGGAUUAGAUACCCGAGUA